UCCUGUAAGAUUUAUGCUACUGCACAAACAUCCAAUGCCAGGUUCAAAAUUGAGACACCCCCAGAGCUUAUCAAGAAUUAAAAGGUAAAGGGGGGUGGCGUAAGAAAAAAAGGAAUAGUGUGUGAUGCUAGUUGUAAUUGGCCAAAUUAAAAUCAACGUCAACAACUUCCACUUCAUAAACAAAUUACAAUACAAAAACAAUUAAAUAAAAAAAUAUUAAAAAAGAGAAAAACUAACAAUAUGCACAUAUAAAACAAGCAUUAACAGCCAAAAAUGGGGCCAAGGGCAUUAAACUCUGAGAGGGUCCAGGCGGCUCCACUGCAUUCACAUGCAUUAGCUUCAAAAAACAAGACCAUACCCAUCAGUGACUUCACUCAUAAAGAAACCUCUUUCUUGUCCCUCCCCAGGGUGCACCCCUAAAACAAUUCCCUUGAUCCCCACAGAAUUAUUAUACAACACAAAAUUACAAUGUUAUUAUAAAAAGAUUUACUAAUCUCAGGUGGUAAUUUUAUAAUCAAAUAUUUAUAAUAAAUAACUAUUUAUAUAACACAGUACUAAGUUUCAAAAAGACAAAUAGGAAUAAUAUCUAAGAUAUGAUAAUAAAUAAGAAUAAUGGUUUAGUAGACCAAACCUCAAAACAAAUUCAUUUGUGCCUCAAAAAUCUCUAGCGCAAAACUAAAAUUUACACCACAGUUUAUAAUUUUGUACUCAAAUGCCAGGAUUUAGCAAAUCCUCGUAUUAUAUUCACAUUCCAUCUUCAGCCGCACAGGACUGAUAAAAGUUCACCAGAUAACCAGCAAAUAAAUAUAAAAAUAUGAUAAAAUAUUUAUCAUUAAAAAAAAAUAUUACAUAUAUAUAAAAGUGAUUGCAUUUCACAACACAAAACCUUCAUUUACCACACAAAAGACAUUAUUAAACAGCGACGUUAUCAGAAUUAUAAAUUAUAAAUUCAAUUUACAAAGUGCGUAAAAAGAAAAUUUAUUUGCUGUGGUGUACCCUGAAAGGCUCAAAAUUUUAUAACAAAAAAAGUUUAUGCGAAAAUAACACCAUUAAAUAGAUAUCAGACGCGCCGUCGAAAACUCCCCAAAUGGGAAAAACAACAAAUACCUCGUCCAAUAAGCGACGAUCGAAAACCCUAAGGGAAACAAGUCUACAAGAAAAUAUAUUAAAUGAUUACGACGAAUAUUCCCAACACAAAAAGCAAAAAAAGGACGUCCAACACUUACAGUCAGGGGGUGGCAACUCUAAUAGGCCAUUAUGUACCCAGAUACUAUUUUUAAUCUGCACAACAGAUAGCGCUAGUAGAUUGACCUAGUUCUUUUGUAAAUUCAUAGGUAGCGAUAGUGUUCAUAAUCAAAUGUCAAUUGAAUGUUUAUAAGAAACUAAAUUUAUGCAAUAAAUACUAAUAAUGCAAUAAAUAUAGUGUAAUAUUAAUUUAUUUUGAUUUCAAAAACAGUUGAUUUGUAAAAAUUGUUUUUUUUUUGCAGUAAUAUUCGUUUACAGAUUGAUUUGAGCAUUAUAGUCGCUCUUUUUUUUUUCGGUUUGUAGUAGAUUUUGGUCGAGUGAAAGAUGGAUUUUACAAUGGAGUUUGAUUUAUCAUUUUGAAUUAUUUUCCUAUAUGAUUGUGAAUUAAGAAUCCGAUGAAGAUGCCUGUGAAUACACAUCAAUGUUUUGUGUCUUCGUGCAGGAACAGUAUUACUGUUAAUCCUGAUGUGACAACAUUCAGAUUUCCAUGAAGCCGAAGCAAGUUAUUGAAGUGGAUUGCUGCAAUUGGCUAUGACCUUGAUGCCAGUAAUGCUGAAACAUUUAAAACUAAAUAUGUAUGUUCCGAACAUUUUGAUAUUGGAGCUUUCACUACAUGUGACUGCAUCAAAUUGAAUCGUGGUGCUGCUACAACAUAUUUUAAUUCUGUGGACAGUGAAGUAUGGAUCUAUUGUUAUAAUUUAUUAUGUCUAGAAUGCUGCCAAAUAUAGGUGAAAUGUUUAUGUUACAUAACAUAACUUGUAAGAUCUACUUCUGCAGAUAUAUAUUUUCACCUGCCUCUAAGGUCCUUUGUUAUUCACAGGUAGCAUUUACAUGUGAUGAAGCAGUAUUUAACAUUAUUGGUCAACAUGCAGUCCAUCAUUACAACCUUUGUACAGGCGCAUACAAACAUAUAUGUGUGGGGUAUUUCACACUUUUUAUUUGAUGUUAAAGAUUGGUAUGGUGACCGGGAUACUUUUUUUUAUUAAACCUCCUACACAGUUCUCUACUGUUUCCCUUAUCUGUUGCCUUAACAUUUUUUUCCGAUCAGUCCAAUUCCUUGAAUCACAUUGCAAAAAAAGUCACAAUACAUGGGAUUGGGCCACUCUCUUCAAAGAAUUGUAAUUCGAGUUUAAACAUAGCAAGGCUGACCAUAAAUUGUAGAGGAAAAUUUAAAAUGUUGAUCUUCAACAUAUUUAUAACCUAUGCUCAUGUGAUGUAUAUACAGCUAGUUAGAAAGUAAGUUGUAGUAUAGUAUGCAAUUGAACCUUCAAUAAGUUCUACAUCCACACUUAAAAACUUAUUUUACUUGAUGUUUUAUGUUCAAUAACUAUUCAGUAUAAAGGUUUUUUUUUACAUUAUAAACUACAAAAGUAUUCCGAUUUGUAAAUGUAAUGAAAUUCCACUGAGCCCUCUACCUUUUUUUUAACUACCAUUUCUGCCGUGUGGCCUUUUUUUUCUUACUUUUGUGUUCAUUAUAAGUUACAACCACUCAUUUGAUUUAUUGUGUUAAAUUAAAUGAUAUUUAAAAUUGGAUGUCACUUCAUAAGAACAUUCAGGAUUACCUGUAUUCACAGCGCACAAUUAUACAAAAGUUUUUUAUGUAUGUAAAAGUGUUUUACGUAAGCCAGUGGACACAUACAUGUAUUGAGUAACAUGAGAAAAUUGAAAUAUCUAAAAUAAAAUUAAAAGGUUACAAGCUUUUAUAUACAUGCAGCUCCCAAAAAAGUCUGCAUACUAAAAAAUAACACAUGCUUUUAAAUGAAUUCUUACCAUCUUAUAAACUAGUAGUAUUUUGUUAUUUGAUUUCAAAUGAAUUGUUUUUGGUUAAUUUAUUUGACUGUAGGGAUUAAAUAUCAUUUGUAGAAUAAAGUGUGAAAAGUAGUAUUGAUCAAUUUAACUGUAAGUACUAAAUAUGUGUUACAUUUCUUGUAAGUUAAAAUUGUUCAGGUAUUAUAAAUUAGCUGAAAAAAGCAAACUCAUGACUAGAAUAAAUUGUACUGUUAGGUAUGUUUCGAAGAAAGACUACCUGUUGCAGUCGUUACCAUGUGUAUGUACCACAUUUUUAUUGUCAUUAUAACUGCCAUAAUUUUGUACAAAUAAAUCACUUAAUACAUAAAA
This is a long non-coding RNA of Bacillus rossius redtenbacheri, 3363 nucleotides long. RefSeq lists it as uncharacterized. The transcript is spliced from 2 exons. The record is from RefSeq and is a predicted model, not a curated record. Lineage: Eukaryota; Metazoa; Arthropoda; Insecta; Phasmatodea; Bacillidae.